Molecule: long non-coding RNA, 474 nt
Filed under: Salvia miltiorrhiza (redroot sage)
Lineage: Eukaryota; Viridiplantae; Streptophyta; Magnoliopsida; Lamiales; Lamiaceae
Description: long non-coding RNA (SMIL_LNC012108)
Source: RNAcentral
CGGGGGGUUAAUUGCUACGAUUUUGCUACGUUAGGGUAGUAAACAGCGCUUACCCUGACUAUGGGGGGCUGUACGCGAUAGGGACGCCAACGUUGGGGGGUAUUUGGUACUUUACCCUUUAAAAAUCCUAAACUAGAGGAAAAAUGGAGCAAACCCUGUCAUUGGUUCAGUAGUAGGCACACCCGAACCUUCGUUGCAUUGCUCUAGGUAAUCGUCGAACUCGCUAUCCAUUGCAAAAAAAUUGAGGAACACAAAAAAUAGAGGAAAAAUAUAUAAUGAGAGAACAAUGGGAAGAAUGAGAGAAGAUGAAAAUUUGUGAAGACAAAUGUGGGUAUUUAUAAAGGUAGAAAGGAAAAUUAAAAAAUAAAAUAAAAAAUUGGCUACUAGCCGUUUUUUUCAAACGGUCAAAAGAAUUAAAAAAAAAAGGAAAAAACUAAGAAACGGUCGAAAUUUUAAAAAAAAAUCAGAUUUUUU